This 2014-nucleotide unclassified non-coding RNA is filed under the name Anthonomus grandis grandis. RNAcentral describes it as "luc7-like protein 3". Lineage: Eukaryota; Metazoa; Arthropoda; Insecta; Coleoptera; Curculionidae. The record is from RNAcentral.
AUUUUUUUUGACAGAAACACUAUAAAAAAAGUUAUUAAUAAUGGACGACAAAAAUAUGAUGAAUAUUGAUACGGUGAUGGAAGAUAUGCAGAACUUUUUAAACGGUUCUGCAAAUACAGUAAAAAGUACCGAAAUCGCAAAAGAAGUGCGGCUGGUGGAGAUUGGCCCAAAUAAUCCAGCUUAUUGGGCGGAAAUAUUCAGAAAGCAAGCCAACAAUUUGCCAGAACCUCCUCAGUAUAAUCGCGAAAUAAGGGAUAAUGAACAAAAUAAAAGCAAUAGGAAAGCCGAAGCAGAAAAAGAAGACGAAGAAAAAGAAAGACAAAUCUGGAUAAGGCAGAGGAGAGAAGAAGGAAGAAUGAGAGAGCAGAGAAUCAGAGAGGAAAGAAUGAGAGAGAAAAGAAUUAGAGAGCAGAGAAUAAGAAGAGAAAUGGAAGUGACUCCGAGAGUGGAAGAAGAUACGGGGAGGAAUAGGGGAAGAAUGAAUAGAAGUAGGAGUAAAAGUAGAGACACAUACAGCAGAAGGCGACAUGAAAGACAAGAAGAAAGAAGAGAAAGGGAUAGAACUAGAAGUAGGGAUAGUUAUGAAAGUAGGAGGGGAGAUAGAGGGGAAGAAGUUCAUAACAGAGGAAGGAUACGUGGACGCGGCAGAGGAAGGGACGAGAGGAUGGGGAACGGUGGUCGAUAUGUCCAUCCUCAUCGUGGUCGCGGACGUGGGCGUCGGGAAAUUGCAAACACCCAGACAUCAAGACGACAGCCACAGCAAGUUGGGUCUGGUGUUGUUGGGUGUUUGCAAUUUAACAACAUUGCGUCUAUGGUUGAGUUUACAAAACAAUUUUUCAAUAAAUAAUUUUUUCCUUAAAUCUGUACUUCUUAAUACUUAAUAUAUGUAUUGUUUAAGUUUUGUUUAUCAUUUCUUCAAAAAAAAAAUCAACGAGUGCAAAAUAGAUGACAAUUAUUAAUUAAACACAAAAAGUGGUGUCUUAUAAGGGCCUAGAAUUCCUUCAGCUAUUCUAUGAUUGAUAUGGGUAAAAUAAACCGUUUAAAUAAAAUAAGCGUCACUUGCCUUAACAACCCCUGCAAUAAAAUUAAUCUUAUUCUACUAUACUUACCCUAUGUCGCCAAACCCUAAAUUGAAAAACAAAAACAGAACAGAACUAUAUGAAUUUUGCUGCCAAAUUAUUUAAUUAUAUAAUGUAUCGAACCGACCGUGCAAAAAUAAAUUUAGUGCGCCCAUAAGAUGCCAUGCUGAGAAGUCAGUCAAAUUCAGAUGUCAAUGUCAACCCAACAAAACAAUAACAUAAUUCACCUUGAGAAAUUAUUAUUAUUUUUUAACUAAUAUUUAUUAAAAACACAUAAUUUACAACUUCUUAAUUCGCAUACCUAUAUGUAUUUUAUCAGUUGGUUAGGUAUGAUUUGUUUUCAUCCUGGUCAACAAUUCAACAGCUAUGGGACCCAUUAGUUGUAAACCAGAAAGAAUUGCAUGUUUUAACUGCUGAUUAGUCUACCAUACAACUAGGAAUAAAUAAGCUAAAUAAAGUAUGUUAAGAUUCCUAAGAGAUCAUGAAAUGUGUUUGAUAGGGCUCAGACCAGGCACUUAAGGACAUCCAUCGAGAAAUCAUUGAGAUUCUACCAUAUUGAUGAAAUCGGGAAACCAGGAAAAACUGCCUGACUUUACUGUUGAUUAGACUACCCAGCCAGAAAUAAAUAAGAUUCAUAAAGUAUGUUAGGAUUCUCCAGAGAUCAUGAAAUGUGUUUGAAGGGAUAGGUGCAGUGAUAUGAGGAAGGAAACAAAAAUUAGAAGUAAACAGGAAUCUAAAUGUGACACAAAUUGUAAACUUUUUUGUUAUCUUGAAUAGGCAAAAAGGCACGAGAAUCUUUCAACUGGACCCAAAGUCUCUAUUUUUGGUUAGAUAAAACUUAUUUAAUGUUUAUGUUCCAUAACCUGUUUAUUGUUUUAUUAACUUUUGUCAUACAGUUAUUUAGUUUUAAUAAUUAAAGAGAAAAUUGAUCUAUA